RNAcentral lists this ribosomal RNA (375 nucleotides) under Enterococcus casseliflavus. RNAcentral's name for it is "bacterial SSU rRNA". It matches the Rfam family "Bacterial small subunit ribosomal RNA", at positions 96 to 464 of the family's 1533-position model. Lineage: Bacteria; Bacillati; Bacillota; Bacilli; Lactobacillales; Enterococcaceae. The record is from RNAcentral.
UGGCGAACGGGUGAGUAACACGUGGGUAACCUGCCCAUCAGAAGGGGAUAACACUUGGAAACAGGUGCUAAUACCGUAUAACACUAUUUUCCGCAUGGAAGAAAGUUGAAAGGCGCUUUUGCGUCACUGAUGGAUGGACCCGCGGUGCAUUAGCUAGUUGGUGAGGUAACGGCUCACCAAGGCAACGAUGCAUAGCCGACCUGAGAGGGUGAUCGGCCACACUGGGACUGAGACACGGCCCAGACUCCUACGGGAGGCAGCAGUAGGGAAUCUUCGGCAAUGGACGAAAGUCUGACCGAGCAACGCCGCGUGAGUGAAGAAGGUUUUCGGAUCGUAAAACUCUGUUGUUAGAGAAGAACAAGGAUGAGAGUAAAA